GACGAACGCUGGCGGCGUGCUUAACACAUGCAAGUCGAGCGGUAAGGCCCUUUCGGGGGUACGACGAGCGGCGAACGGGUGAGUAACACGUGGGUGACCUGCCCUCAGCUCUGGGAUAAGCCUGGGAAACCGGGUCUAAUACUGGAUAUGACUCCAUGACGCAUGUUGUGGGGUGGAAAGCCUUGUGCGGCCGAUGUCUGAUUAGCUAGUUGGCGGGGUAAAAGCCCACCAAGGCGACGAUCAGUAGCUGGUCUGAGAGGACGACCAGCCACACUGGGGACUGAGACACGGCCCAGACUCCUACGGGAGGCAGCAGUGGGGAAUUUUGGACAAUGGGCGCAAGCCUGAUCCAGCCAUGCCGCGUGCGGG
RNAcentral lists this ribosomal RNA (369 nucleotides) under uncultured bacterium. RNAcentral describes it as "bacterial SSU rRNA". It matches the Rfam family "Bacterial small subunit ribosomal RNA", at positions 28 to 407 of the family's 1533-position model. The record is from RNAcentral.